Long non-coding RNA from Neopsephotus bourkii (Bourke's parrot), 877 nucleotides. RefSeq lists it as uncharacterized. The transcript has 5 exons. The record is from RefSeq and is a predicted model, not a curated record. Lineage: Eukaryota; Metazoa; Chordata; Aves; Psittaciformes; Psittacidae.
CAGAACAGCCCUUCCAUCCCCAUAGCCCUGCACUGCACAGCCACGUCCAGCUUGGAGCCAUUGCCUAGAGCUGUGCACCGGAGCCACCUCCAGCCUCUGAGCCAGCAUCCCGGCACCUUCCUGCACCCACAUCCCCCCUCCUCAGGCUCCACCACAGGGUACAGCCAGAAAGGUCCCAGUCCCAACACCCUAUGGUACCCCAUUGGGUAACCCACCAGGUUAUGCUCAGAGGGUUUUCUGCAAUGGAUUUUUGACAUGCAGCUGCCCCCAUUAUGCAGGCCCAGUGAGACCUUCCCAGCCUGCUCAGCUCAACAUCUGUGAAAUCAGGAACCCCAAGAAAGCCAUUAGACAGAUAUUUUGGAUCAAUGAGAACCAGAAGGACCUCUGCUCCUCCAGCCAAGCGAGGACUCUUUUAACUGCGCACACGGAAAACGCAUCCCACGAGCAGAUCCCCUCCUCUCACAGGUGAGAUUAGGAGGUCGUAUUUCAUGAGUGCUUGUGGAUCUCCUUUCUGAAGCCCUAAUGAACUAUGGAUGAGUGACCACGGUAAUCCAGUCUGUGCAGGAGCUCAUUAAAGUCACCAAGUCUGCUAUAAUAACUAGUUGCAUCUGAUCAGAUUACUUCUUUAAGAUGCUGUUUCCACUGGUGAACAAGAGCCUGCUCUUAUCCUAGUGUGGGCAGCAGGAGCCUUGCUCUGGGCUCUGUGAGUGGGGAGCUGGCUCUUGCCUCGUGCACCAUUAACAAGCUACAAUAUGAUGAACUCACAGUGCAGAAAGGCCAUGGGAUUUCCCAUUGCUGCUUUGCUCGGCCAAGUCCAGCCAGAGCAGGAGCCUCAUAUCCCGCUGGAGGAAAGCAAUGGGCACUAAGGAAUGGUCCA